GACGUAGGGCGCGAGCGUUGUCCGGAUUUAUUGGGCGUAAAGAGCUCGUAGGCGGCUUGUUGCGUCAGCUGUGAAAACCCGCAGCUCAACUGUGGGCUUGCAGCUGAUACGGGCAGGCUUGAGUUCGGUAGGGGAGACUGGAAUUCCUGGUGUAGCGGUGAAAUGCGCAGAUAUCAGGAGGAACACCGGUGGCGAAGGCGACUACCUGGCCUGUUCUUGACGCUGAGGCGCGAAGGUCAGGGGAGCAAACGGG
RNAcentral lists this ribosomal RNA (253 nucleotides) under uncultured bacterium. Its description in RNAcentral is "partial 16S ribosomal RNA". It matches the Rfam family "Bacterial small subunit ribosomal RNA", at positions 524 to 776 of the family's 1533-position model. The record is from RNAcentral.